UCCUCAAUGAGGCUUGUCUUUCAGGCUGGUCUCCUGGGUUCUCAGUAAAUCUGCAGGUCACGUUUGCUCCCUUUUCCAACACUCAGGUUCUCUCUUGAAGUGGCAUCCCAAACAGAAUUAAAAAUACAAUAAUCUGUAACAACAAACAAUACCAGAAUCCCUCCAAAACUGUAACAUGUGUUCAGCCCUGUAAUGGCAGUGUUGGUUUAAUGGCUCUCCAUGGCCCACAGGUGAAGCAUCCCCUCUGCCAGGACUGCUGUGGGAGGGAAGGAGCUGGAGCUUGGCCAGGGAGCAUUAUCUCCCAGCUCUUCCCCAGUCCCACAGCCUGUAGCACUGCAUGCUCCCCUCCUUUGAGGGUUUUCAAGUGGCUGCCAUGCCAUGCAAUUGUUCUUCAGAGCUUCGCCACAUCACUUGCAAAUUGAACAUCUCAGCAUGUUUAUGUUUUUGAACCUAAAGCCCAAGUCACAGCAAACCCCAGAAGCACCGGGUGCCAGAGGCAGAUUCAGUGACACAGCAGUGGCCUUGCUGCUGCCACAUGGCAUGAGCCUUGGGUGUGGAUAUCUGACCUUGGGAUGGCCCAUUUGGCUCAAUCACAGCCUGGGAACAGACACAUUCACAGUCCUUUCUGAAGCUCCUUCCUCCACAAGGUUAGUGAUUGCUAAUGACAUUUGCAGGGAAAGAAAGUAUUUUGCUCAGCUCUUCUGCUUUUGUGUAUGGUUUUGCUCUCUGGUAUCAUGUUCCUGUGUUUGUGAUACAGGCAUCUCCACAGCAACAAGUGACAUGCAGGGCUAUGACUUCAGCCGGGGAACAUGUAGAAAGCUUUGAUGAGCUGUCAAGCAGCAAAGAUGUUGUUCCAGCACGGAUGCAAGAAGCAGACAGUGACCGUGUGCUCGGCCUCUGGCUGUCCUCUUCCCAGCAAGCCCCCGCUGGAGGUAAUUUAGGCUCAAGAGAGAAGAAAGCCCUUUCAAAGGAACUUAUUAUUUCAAUAUCUGCAGAGUAAGACCUAAGAAAGACCUCAGGCUUUGGACAACUCUUUAUGAGUAGUAUUAAUAAAAACUGAAAAAAACAGGCAGAAAGUGCUGUCAUCUGACCUACCACCAUAAAUCUCCUUAAGCAAUCUGGUGUUGACGACACUUCAGCUUGAUGCAAGGGAAACACAGUAAAGCAAACGACAGUCUGAGCAAAAAUGUGCCGACAAGUUCAUCUUUAAUCAGUAAUUAAUGAACAGUUUUACUCAUUCAUCAGAGCGUAAAGACUUCCCCAGUUGCAUAUCUGAUACUGCAUAUCUGACCCUGCUCUAAGCAUUUUUUUUAAGCCCAUGUAUUAGCAUCACAUUAAAGUGAAUUUCCUCAAGGGCCACGAAGGGGUGUUGUUUGCUAACAUGCUAUGUCCAGCAGUACAAGAGCUGUACAACAAAGGAAGAAAAAUCUUUGUCAUUUUAGCUGUGAUUUUUCAGACCAGAACAGGGCCCUUCUCUGGGGAUGCCUCCAUUCUGAUAGAGGCCUCAAGGGUAUGUUGGACUUCUGCACAGGUGACUGACACCUGUGGAAAAUUUUAUCUCUUGUGUCCCUGUGGAUGAAAUUUCUAGAAGUGUUUCACCCUCAUUGGAGGUUUUACUCCGACCAGGCUGCUGAACCUCUAAAAAGCCCAGGGAAAUGAUCAGCAUGCCUGUGCUUUGCCUGGAAAAAGGCCUGUGGAUUUGAAAAUUGGUGUCCACAUCCUUGGAAAAAUAUGUGCCAAAUUCUACAAAUUCUAGGUUAUUGCUUAGAAGGCUGUUCCAAAGUCUUAGUAAAAUCAAAUCAGCUUAUUUACAUUCUGCAACUUGUGUAUUUUGUUAUUUAUUAGCAAUUGAAAUAAAGAUUCAUGAUUUGGAUCUCUG
Strigops habroptila (Kakapo) is the source of this 1879-nucleotide long non-coding RNA. NCBI's taxonomy places the organism in Eukaryota, Metazoa, Chordata, Aves, Psittaciformes, Psittacidae. The record is from Ensembl.